This 305-nucleotide ribosomal RNA is filed under the name uncultured bacterium. RNAcentral describes it as "bacterial SSU rRNA". It matches the Rfam family "Bacterial small subunit ribosomal RNA", at positions 333 to 655 of the family's 1533-position model. The record is from RNAcentral.
UGGGUCCUAUGGGGGGCAGCAGUGGGGAAUAUUGCACAAUGGGGGAAACCCUGAUGCAGCGACGCCGCGUGAAGGAAGAAGUAUCUCGGUAUGUAAACUUCUAUCAGCAGGGAAGAAAAUGACGGUACCUGACUAAGAAGCCCCGGCUAACUACGUGCCAGCAGCCGCGGUAAUACGUAGGGGGCAAGCGUUAUCCGGAUUUACUGGGUGUAAAGGGAGCGUAGACGGCAAUACAAGUCGGAAGUGAAAUACCCGGGCUCAACCUGGGAACUGCUUUGGAAACUGUAUGGCUGGAGUGCUGGAGG